GAAUUCUUGAUAUCAAAGCAGACACGAUAGGCAGACAAUAAUGCAGGAGAUAGAGCAUGCCGGAGAAUGUAUUGGCAACCUGGAAUUUCUGAACAACCCAGCAAUAACAAAUUAGCAAGCACCUGCAGCGAAUGAAAACUGUAUGGUUAUACUAAUCACCAAAGAAGAAGGAAACAAGACUUCACAGCAGAUUGAAUUACUGUUUAAUUGGGCAUCCUG
Long non-coding RNA from Mauremys reevesii (Reeves's turtle), 219 nucleotides. RefSeq lists it as uncharacterized. The transcript has 3 exons. The record is from RefSeq and is a predicted model, not a curated record. Lineage: Eukaryota; Metazoa; Chordata; Testudines; Geoemydidae.